UUGCUCGCUUCGGCAGCAUGUAUACUAAAAUUGGAACGAUAUGGAGGAGAUUAACAUGGCCCCUGUGCAAGGAUGAUACACAAAUUCAUGAAGCAUUCCAUAGUUAA
This 107-nucleotide small nuclear RNA is filed under the name Jaculus jaculus (lesser Egyptian jerboa). The record is from RNAcentral. Lineage: Eukaryota; Metazoa; Chordata; Mammalia; Rodentia; Dipodidae.